RNAcentral lists this non-coding RNA (25 nucleotides) under Mus musculus (house mouse). RNAcentral also lists the same sequence under 1 other name. Lineage: Eukaryota; Metazoa; Chordata; Mammalia; Rodentia; Muridae. The record is from RNAcentral.
UGAGCAUGUUGAUCUCUUUGUGCCC